GUGUGUGUGUGUGUGUGUGUGUGUGCAUGUGUGUGAGUGAUAGGCAUUCCAGACUCACCUUUCAACGGAAGGAACGAGUAUUGUAAAUCUGCAAACUUACAUGCCAUGCGUCAGAUGCGUCUCGGUAAGAAAGCAAAGUACAGGAGUUACAUCGAUGGUGUCGAUGCUCCUGGGGCCGUCCACGCUGGGACCAAAGUCUACUCAGCUGAUGCAUGAGUUAGCGCUCCGGUGUCUACUGAGACAAAACCACUGGAUCCAUCCAUCCAUCACCUACCGCUUAUCCGGGGCCGGGUCGCGGGGGCAACAGUUUAGCAGGGAAGCCAAGACUUCCCUCUCCCUAGCUACUUCGUCCAGCUCUCCCCGGGGGAUCCCGAGUCGUUCCCAGGCAUGUUGGGUGACAUAGUCUCUCCAGCGUGUCCUGGGUCUUCCUCGGGGUCUCCUCCCGGUGGGGCAUGACCGGAACACCUCACCGGAGAGGCGCUCAGGAGGCAUCCGAAUCAGAUGCCCAAGCCACCUCAUCUCGAUGUGGAGGAGAAGCGGCUCGACUCUGAGCCCCUCCCGGAUGACUGAGCUUCUCACCUUAUCUCUAAGGGAGAGCCUGGACACCCUGCGGAGAAAACUCAUUUCGGACGCUUGUAACCGGGAUCUCGUUCUUUCGGUCACGACCCAUAGCUCGUGACCAUAGAUGAGGGUUGGAACGUAGAUCGACCGGUAAAUUGAGAGCUUCGCUCUUUGGCUCAGCUCCUUCUUCACAACGACAGACCCAUACAAUGUCCGCACCACUGGAUCCACGCAGUCAUAAAUAUUUUAAGUGAUGUUCUGCCGGGCUGUUGUUAUAAGUUCCACUGGUUUUGAUACCAAGUUUGUUGAAUCCUUGUUUGUCUUAAGUAUGACCCAAAGCAGCAGACAUGGGAGCCACCAUUACAGUAUCAUUAACCGUUAUGCCCCUUCUCCUCCCACUUCUCUCCCCCCACUGACUGUAUAUCUCAAAUAUAUUAUGACCCUUUCAGAGUUGUGACUUAGUGA
Long non-coding RNA from Hippocampus zosterae (dwarf seahorse), 1026 nucleotides. RefSeq lists it as uncharacterized. NCBI's taxonomy places the organism in Eukaryota, Metazoa, Chordata, Actinopteri, Syngnathiformes, Syngnathidae. The record is from RefSeq and is a predicted model, not a curated record. The transcript is spliced from 2 exons.